This is a long non-coding RNA of Syngnathus acus (greater pipefish), 743 nucleotides long. RefSeq lists it as uncharacterized. The transcript is spliced from 3 exons. The record is from RefSeq and is a predicted model, not a curated record. Lineage: Eukaryota; Metazoa; Chordata; Actinopteri; Syngnathiformes; Syngnathidae.
UCUCUGAGAUAUUACUGGCCAGCGAUGUCUGUUGACAUUAAUGAGUGGGUAUGUAAACAAUACAAAAAGAGUAUACUUGUUUGUUCAUUUUUUUUAGCCUGCAAACGUAAUGAAUGAAACUAUUCCUUUGUAUCUUUUGCAAACAAUUCAAAAUGAUUAUCUAAGAUCUUGCCCUUUUUGCAUGCAUUUAUUAACAAUGACUACUUUUCCACAAACCUUGUCAUUGUCAGGUGUCCCAGUGCACCGAAUGUCAGGCAGCCGGCAUAUCAAUAAAAAGCCCAACAGAGGUCAUGCCUAUACAGGUGUCUCAGCCAUUCGAACUCUUGGGGAUGGACCUCAUUGGCAAACUGGCUCAGACAAAAGAUGGAUACCAAUAUAUUUGCGUGAUGGUCGAUUAUUUCACGAAAUGGCCUCAAGCCUAUCCAUUGAGGUCGAAGUCUGCUGCUGAUGUUACCGCCUGUAUCCUAAAAUUCGUCUACCAAUUUGAGUCGCCAAAAAGGAUCUUGACAGAUCAAGGCAAAUAAUUUGUCAAUGCAAUCAACAAGAGAGUAUGUGAAAUGCUUGACAUAAAAAGAAGCCUUUGCUCACCAUACCACCCUCAAACUAAUGGGUUGGUGGAAAAUUUAAAUGGGACAAUUCAAAGGUGAGUAUACUUCGUUUACCCACAUUAAUCUUUGACAAUUUCUUGUUAUGAUGUUGCUCGUGAGUUUGUUUUUGUUUUCAGGGCACUUUCAAAGUAAAUA